UCUAUUUUAACGGUGUUGGUUGCGGCCCCUGGUAACCCCGGGCGGUAGAGGUAACACUCGCACGCGCCACAUGCCUUAAUCCUUUUUUACGAGCACCUUUCGUUCUCCUUCGGUGGGGCAACCUGCCGCUGGAACUUAUCAAAAACCUUUUUUGCAUCUAGCAUUACCUGUUCUGAUACAAACAAUCGUUA
Molecule: unclassified non-coding RNA, 191 nt
Filed under: uncultured Camarosporium
Lineage: Eukaryota; Fungi; Ascomycota; Dothideomycetes; Pleosporales
Description: sequence contains ITS1
Source: RNAcentral